GAGCCUGGAAGAGUCAUCAUCACUUUCCUUGUUUCCAGGUUUGGGAUAGGAUGCAAUUAUCCUGGCCCAUCAAUAGCCAGCAUAUUGUCAGAACCAGGUCCGCAGAGCACAUGAUCCUUUAAGACACUGGGUUUUGAAUCCAGCCAAGCACCUGGGAGGCAUGGGAGACUGUGGAGC
Long non-coding RNA from Suricata suricatta (meerkat), 177 nucleotides. RefSeq lists it as uncharacterized. The transcript is spliced from 3 exons. The record is from RefSeq and is a predicted model, not a curated record. Lineage: Eukaryota; Metazoa; Chordata; Mammalia; Carnivora; Herpestidae.